UGAAAAAUAUUAUGUUAAUAUUAUAUUGCUAAAAUGUUUUUUUAUUCAAAUUCCAAUUUUUGUUUCAGUUCAAUAUAUAAAGGUCUAAUUAACAUUAUACCAUGCUAAGAUUACAAAACUUUUUUGAUAUUUUAAAUACAAAGCAAAAAUGAAAUCAGAAUACACAAAACACCAAUAAUAAACAAUUCUGUACUUUAUUCAACGAUCACCUAAACAUCAUCUUGCUGUAAACAGGACAAAGGAAAAAGAAAAAAGAAUUGUGUUAGUUGACUUUACUUUUCGUCUUCAAUUGCAUUAAAAAAAACCUCAUUUAUAAGUCACUUUGGGUAAAAGCGUCUGCUAAAUGAAUUAAUGUGAAAUGUAAAUGCAUAAGGUAAAAUAAUGACUUGCUGGUAGGCGAAUGUUUCUAAUUUUUUCAUUCGUUUUAAUAUCUCUUUACUAUCUAUAAAAUAUUAAAUAGACUUCAUAUGUGUCAUUUGACAAACAGAGCCAAAACAAAUUUUUGACCACACUUCAACAAUCAACUGUAUUUAUUAACCUUCAACCAUAACAUUGCAACCACAUACAUACUUAUGUGUAGGUCAUACACGUAUAUAUUUUUUACACAUGUAUUUUUAGACAUGCGCCCCACUGGCUCCAAACAAUGCUCAAACUUUUGUGUUAGGUGUUUGUUGUUUCGUUGCUUUAUUCAAUACAGGUUGAUUUCUGAUUUGUCUUUUUAGAACAACUAGAUAGAGCUCAUCAAGACAUUUAAUUUGAUAUAUAGAACUCAUUUUCGCCCAAAUGCCAUUUACGCCCCGCAGGUUCCAAGCUCUCUAUGAAGUAGUUUGAUUAAAAAAAAAUUUAUGAUUAGCUAAAUAAAAUUGGUAAUACUUAUGUUUCAGCUUAAGUUCUUCACAUGUUUAUUCAGUCCAAUUUGAUAGGAGGCGCUGUCUCAAAAAAUGAGGGGUCUGAGAAUGAGGGACUCAGGGUGGGGGACUGUAGUUGCAUGCUCUGGCUUUAUAAUAUUGCAUAGUUCCCAAAAUAACCAUCUGCACACUAAAGCUUUUUUACUAUGAAAGUUUUACGAAAUUAAGGAAAAUAUAUUAAGCAUACUAAUUUGAUCAUAAUUAAUAGUUAAUGUUCUUGUAACUUUAAAUUAUUGUUUUUUACCAUUUUAAAUUAUUCUAGAUGUAGCAGAAAGCACUAUACACAUUUAACAUUUUGUGCGCGCGUGCAUGUGUGUGAAAAUUACAGUAGUAUCCCAGCUAGCAUGUAUAAUCGGCCCGAGCUCGGCUGCCCUGCGGCAGGUGCGGCUCAGACUCGGCAUCGGCGUGUGUUAACCGAGCCGAUUGUGCCCCCCAGCUCGCUCUGGCACAUUCAUUUUUGUUCUGGCUGUAAGCACUGGGCCGAUUCAUGUUCACCGUAACUGGUAACCCAGCUCUGGCUGUAUGAUCUGGACCACUUUUGGAAAUGACUCGGCUUAUGUUAAAUCAAGGAUGGUUUUAAUGGAUGCCAUUCAAUGUAGGCGACUUUCUUUAACACAAAUGUAGAUUUUUAACUCCAACCGUUUUAGUCUGUCCAUAACAAAAGACAGUAAAAAACAAAACAUGCACAGACAAAUCCAAAUUAAACCCUGCUGCUCGUUGAUGUCCUAAGACACGAAACGAUCGGUUUCUGUGAGAAACCGAACUGUAUUAUAUAAUUUAUACCUCUAAUACGGCGCCUUCUUCUUCUUUUGAGUUUUAAUGGCGGGUUGCGAAGCAACGUCAUAGUUGCAUACUGCCAUCUACUGUAUCGGAUGCACGGCUUGAGGGCUAUACAGGGACACCCGAAACCGUAGGUGGCGGUAUGCACCUAUGAAGUUGCUUCGCAACCCGCCAUUAAAACUAAAGAAGAAGGUGCUGUGCACGGGCUCAUUUGACUACGCAUAGUACUGUAUUAGAGGUAAAAAAAUUAUAUAAAUACUGUUCGGCUUCUCGCACAAACCGAUCGUUUCGUUUCUUAGGAUAUCAAUGUGUCGUCACGAGCGGCAGGGUUUAAUUUGGAUUUGUCUGUGCAUGUUUUUACUGUCUGAGAUUUUGUUACUAUUCACAUGCAUACAGACUGAAACGGUUGGAGUUUCUGCAUUUGUGUUGUACUGAAGAAACAAAAUCACAUACAUCUUGGAUGACCUCGGGGUAAGCUGAUAAAUAUAAAAAAUUCAUUUUAAGAUGAAUCCCGUACGUUGGCGGCUGUUUUAAACUGGGUGCUCGGCUCAGACCCUUUUGCCAGUAUGAAGCCGAUUUCAACGGUAACUGCAGAAAGCGUCAGCACGCUCAGCUCAUCACUGGAGUAACGUCUGUACAACGGGUGAGAUAAAACUCAACGCCUGACUGAAUCAUCCAUUCCCUUUUCGAUCCUACGCCAUACGUUAAACUUGAGGUAAUCUUGCUUUUGCUGUUCUAAAAUAAACACUGCUCUUAGCACACCCCACCCUUACAUGGCACACAAGUAUAUGACACACAACACAGGUCUUCUCAGGAGGCUGUGCCUACAGCAAUAGGCUUUACGCCCAGCUGCACUACUUCCUGAACUUCAGCCAGCUCCUUGUUUCCUGUCUGCCAUUAUUGGACAAACUGAUUAAUCCAGGUGUGCCUCAGCUUAGUAGUCACAACAACAAUAAUCAGACACACCUGGAUUUAUCAGUUUGUCCAGUAAUGGCAGACAGGAAACAAGGAGCUGGCUGAAAUUCAGGAAGUAGUGCAGCUGGGCAUAAAGCCUAUUGCUAAGGAGAUCCUCAUCCAGCUCGAUUUUAUUAGAGAGCAGCAGUUGCAGACUUCACCCCAGACCCAACACAUUUUGGGCUCCCACUUUCAACUAUUGAGGAGCUACAAUGUUUGUAGGAGACAUUAAAUAAUCCAGAUGAGAAGAAGAAUUUGGUGAGACUGUUUUUCCUGGAAUGGUCGGAGACAAGACUCUUAAAGACACCGUGGGGUGGGUCCUGAAAAAAACAAUAAACUCUUUGUGGCGAGACUCAUCAAUUGAAGUGGGGUCAACUGAAGCCUGCAUUCAAAGGGCUCACUUUGAAAAGUGUGGUUUUGGAUGCAGUCCGCCGGAAUGCCCUGACCAAAGAUAACACAGAAAAGGAGAUAGAGCUCCUCAUCACCAGGUGGUCGGUGCUAGCAUAUGACAGGGAUGGUGGCCAAAUCCAGACAAUAGACAGACAAUGAAUUAAAAUGUUUUAAAUUUAAAAAUGUUGAUUUUUGGAAAAUUCGUAUUUGAACUGAUUGUGUGUGUGUGUGUGCACCUGGUAAUUAUCACGUUGUGUCCCCACAAAGAUAGGAAUACUAGUAUUUUUGUGACCUUGUGUCCCCAUGAGGAAACAAGCUUAUAAAUCAAACAAAAUGAUGUUUCUUGUAAAUGUGAAGUAGGAGAAGGGUUUCUGUGAUGGUUGGGUUUAGGGAAUGGGGUAGGUAAGGGGAAUAAAAUAUACAGUUUGUAUGGUAUAAAAUGCAUUACGUCUAUGGAAUGUCCCCACAAAACAUGGAAACCUGUUUGUGUGUACGAGAGAGAGAGAAUGUGUGUUCAAGUGAAUAAAAAAUGCAUUAAACGUGAAAUCCUU
Non-coding RNA from Misgurnus anguillicaudatus (oriental weatherfish), 3583 nucleotides. NCBI's taxonomy places the organism in Eukaryota, Metazoa, Chordata, Actinopteri, Cypriniformes, Cobitidae. The record is from RefSeq and is a predicted model, not a curated record.